GGCUCCUACAUGCAUGAGGCCUGGGGUGGAUAGUCGGCCGUCUUCCCGGAGAAUCGGAUUAGUCGGCGGGCUUCCCGAGGAAGGAGCAGUGUGGGCGGGGUUUAUCCGCCGUUUAUAUCUGUGCCAGGCUUCUUGGUAAUACAGAGGGUGCGAGCGUUAAUCGGAUUUACUGGGCGUAAAGCGUGCGUAGGCGGCUUUUUAAGUCGGAUGUGAAAUCCCCGAGUUUAACUUGGGAAUUGCAUUCGAUACUGGGAAGCUAGAGUAUGGGAGAGGAUGGUACAAUUCCAGGUGUAUCGGUGAAAUGCGUACACAUCUGGAUGAAUACCGAUGGCGAACGCAGCCAUCUGGCCUAAUACUGACGCUGAGGUACCAAAGCAUGGGGAGCAAACAGGAUUCAAUACCCUGUCUACUCCAGCCGUAAACGAUGUCUACUAGCCGUGGGGGCCUUUGAGGCUUUUAUGGCCCCGCUAAUGCGAUAAGUACACCGGCUUGGGAUUACGGUCUCAAAAUAAAACUCAAA
RNAcentral lists this ribosomal RNA (520 nucleotides) under uncultured prokaryote. RNAcentral's name for it is "bacterial SSU rRNA". It matches the Rfam family "Bacterial small subunit ribosomal RNA", at positions 420 to 905 of the family's 1533-position model. The record is from RNAcentral.